RNAcentral lists this non-coding RNA (29 nucleotides) under Mus musculus (house mouse). Lineage: Eukaryota; Metazoa; Chordata; Mammalia; Rodentia; Muridae. The record is from RNAcentral.
UCAAAAAUCUUCCGAAGAUGUAUGUAUUC